GGGAGCGAUUAUACCAGCACUAAUGCACCGGAUCCCAUCAGAACUCCGCAGUCAAGCGUGCUUGGGCGAGAGUAGUACUAGGAUGGGUGACCUCCCGGGAAGUCCUCGUGUUGCAUCCC
Molecule: ribosomal RNA, 119 nt
Filed under: Arabidopsis thaliana (thale cress)
Lineage: Eukaryota; Viridiplantae; Streptophyta; Magnoliopsida; Brassicales; Brassicaceae
Source: RNAcentral